This 76-nucleotide transfer RNA is filed under the name Clostridia bacterium. RNAcentral describes it as "tRNA-Thr". It matches the Rfam family "tRNA". Rfam says of the family: Transfer RNA (tRNA) molecules are approximately 80 nucleotides in length. Their secondary structure includes four short double-helical elements and three loops (D, anti-codon, and T loops). Lineage: Bacteria; Bacillati; Bacillota; Clostridia. The record is from RNAcentral.
GCUGGUAUGGCUCAGUCGGUAGAGCAGUUCACUCGUAAUGAACAGGUCAUCGGUUCGAAUCCGAUUACCAGCUCCA